GCCGAAGUGGUGGAACUGGCAGACGCGCUGGACUCAAAAUCCAGUGUCCGCGAGGACGUACGGGUUCGAUUCCCGUUUUCGGCA
This 84-nucleotide transfer RNA is filed under the name Clostridiales bacterium GWD2_32_59. RNAcentral describes it as "tRNA-Leu". It matches the Rfam family "tRNA". Rfam says of the family: Transfer RNA (tRNA) molecules are approximately 80 nucleotides in length. Their secondary structure includes four short double-helical elements and three loops (D, anti-codon, and T loops). Further hydrogen bonds mediate the characteristic L-shaped molecular structure. tRNAs have two regions of fundamental functional importance: the anti-codon, which is responsible for specific mRNA codon recognition, and the 3' end, to which the tRNAs corresponding amino acid is attached (by aminoacyl-tRNA synthetases). tRNAs cope with the degeneracy of the genetic code in two manners: having more than one tRNA (with a specific anti-codon) for a particular amino acid; and 'wobble' base-pairing, i.e. permitting non-standard base-pairing at the 3rd anti-codon position. RNAcentral also lists the same sequence under 1 other name. The record is from RNAcentral. Lineage: Bacteria; Bacillati; Bacillota; Clostridia; Eubacteriales.